GGAGCCUGAGAAACGGCUACCACAUCCAAGGAAGGCAGCAGGCACGUAAAUUACCCACUCUCAAUGCGAGGAGGUAGUGACUAUCAAUAACGAGACAGAUCUCUAUGAGGCCUGUUAUCGGAAUGGGUACAAUGUAAACCCUUUAACGAGGAUCUAUGAGAGGGCAAGUCUGGUGCCAGCAGCCGCGGUAAUUCCAGCUCUCAAUGUGUAUAUCGUCAUUGCUGCGGUUAAAAAGCUCGUAGUUGGAUCUGAGACAGCGGAGGUGGUGCUCUCUGAGUAACUGCCGUUCGUGUCUGAAUGUCGGUUUGGCGUAGCCUUCGGGUUGCGUUGACUGGCGUGAUUACCUUGAAUAAAUUAAAGUGCUCAAAACAGGCGUUACGCUUGUAUAUCCGAUCAUGGAAUAAUGGAAUAUGACUUCGGUUUGUUCUGUUGGUCUUAGAACCGAAAUAAUGGUUAAGCGGGACUGACGGGGGCAUACGUAUCGUUGCGAUAGAGGUGAAAUUCUUGGACCACAGCGGGACGCCCAAUUGCGAAAGCAUUUGCCAAGAAUGUCUUCAUUAAUCAAGAACGAAAGUCAGAGGAUCGAAGGCGAUUAGAUACCGCCCUAGUUCUGACCGUAAACUAUACCAACUAGCGAUCAGGUGUCGAUAGAUUAGUCGCGCUUGGGAGCUUCUCGGAAACGAAAGUCUUCGGGUUCCGGGGGUAGUAUGGUUGCAAAACUGAAACUUAAAGGAAUUGACGGAAGGGCACCACCAGGAGUGGAGCCUGCGGCUUAAUUUGACUCAACACGGGAAAACUCACCCGGCCCGGACACUGUGAUGAUUGACAGAUUGAAAGUUCUUUCUCGAUUCGGUGGUUGGUGGUGCAUGGCCGUUCUUAGUUGGUGGAUUGAUUUGUCUGGUUUAUUCCGAUAACGAACGAGACUCUAACCUGCUAAAUAGACUUCUGGUAGCUUGGCCAGUUGACUUCUUAGAGGGAUAAGUGGUGUUCAGCCACAUGGAAGUGAGCAAUAACAGGUCUGUUAUGCCCAAUCACUAGU
This 1039-nucleotide ribosomal RNA is filed under the name uncultured eukaryote. Its description in RNAcentral is "SSU rRNA". It matches the Rfam family "Eukaryotic small subunit ribosomal RNA", at positions 391 to 1480 of the family's 1831-position model. The record is from RNAcentral.